GCAUACGACCAUAGCUGGCAGAAAGCACGGGAUCCCGUCCGCUCUCCCUUAGUUAAACUACCAAGCGCCGGAUCAGUAGUACGGUGGGUGACCACGUGCGAAUACCUGGUGUUGUAUGUU
This 120-nucleotide ribosomal RNA is filed under the name Thielaviopsis punctulata. The record is from RNAcentral. Lineage: Eukaryota; Fungi; Ascomycota; Sordariomycetes; Microascales; Ceratocystidaceae.